UCGGUAAUUCCAGCUCCAAUAGCGUAUAUUAAAGUUGUUGCAGUUAAAAAGCUCGUAGUUGGAUUUCUGACAGCGCAGACCUCCCUCUCCAAGCCCUCUGCUUUCCUUCCUUCUGGGGAGGUUUGUGGGGGGAGAUGGGUGGGAAACGACGCGGUGUCAUCCUCUCGGAGACGUCAUGUGCUCUUAAUUGGGUGUGUGAGCCGGAUCCGGGAUCUUUACUUUGAAAAAAUUAGAGUGUUCAAAGCAGGCCUUCGCUUGAAUACAUUAGCAUGGAAUAAUAGAAUAGGACUUUGGUUCUGUUUUGUUGGUUUAUAGGACCGAAGUAAUGAUUAAUAGGGAUAGUUGGGGGCAUUAGUAUUUAAUUGUCAGAGGUGAAAUUCUUGGAUUUAUGAAAGACUAACAUCUGCGAAAGCAUUCGCCAAGGAUGUUUUCAUUAAUCAAGAACGAAAGUUAGGGGAUCGAAGACGAUCAGAUACCGUCGUAGUCUUAACCAUAAACUAUGCCAACUAGGGAUCGGUGGGUUCAUUUUAUAGGCCCAUCGGCACCUUAUGGGAAACCAAAGUUUUUGGGUUCCGGGGGGAGUAUGGUCGCAAGGCUGAAACUUAAAGGAAAUGACGGAAGGGCACCACCAGGAGUGGAGCCUGCGGCUUAAUUUGACCCAACACGGGAAAACUCACCAGGUCCAGACAUAGGAAGGAUUGACAGAUUGAGAGCUCUUUCUUGAUUCUAUGGUUGGUGGUGCAUGGCCGUUCUUAGUUGGUGGAGUGAUUUGUCUGGUUAAUUCCGUUAACGAACGAGACCUUAACCUGCUAAAUAGAGUUGCGAUUCUCGAAUCGUAGACUACUUCUUAGAGGGACUAUCGGCGUUUAGUCGGUGGAAGUUUGAGGCAAUAACAGGUCUGUGAUGCCCUUAGAUGUUCUGGGCUGCACGCGCGCUACACUGACGAGAGCAACGAGUGUACCUGCUCUGGAAAGAGUGGGCAAUCUUUUGAAAUCUCGUCGUGAUGGGGAUAGAUCUUUGUAAUUAUCGAUCUUGAACGAGGAAUUCCUAGUAAGCGCGAUUCAUCAAAUCGCGUUGAUUACGUCCCUGCCCUUUGUACACACCGCCCGUCGCUACUACCGAUUGAAUGGUUUAGUGAGGCCUCGGGAUUGACAAAUGGGAGUUAGCAAUAACUCCCUAUUGUUCGAGAACUUGGUCAAACUUGAUCAUUUAGAGGAAGUAAAAGUCGUAACAAGGUAGCCGUA
This 1244-nucleotide ribosomal RNA is filed under the name uncultured marine eukaryote. RNAcentral describes it as "SSU rRNA". It matches the Rfam family "Eukaryotic small subunit ribosomal RNA", at positions 576 to 1807 of the family's 1831-position model. The record is from RNAcentral.